GUUUUCCUACGGGGGGCAGCAGUUGGGAAUAUUGCGCAAUGGAGGAAACUCUGACGCAGUGACGCCGCGUAUAGGAAGAAGGUUUUCGGAUUGUAAACUAUUGUCGUUAGGGAAGAUAAAAGACAGUACCUAAGGAGGAAGCUCCGGCUAACUACGUGCCAGCAGCCGCGGUAAUACGUAGGGAGCAAGCGUUAUCCGGAUUUAUUGGGUUUAAAGGGUGCGUAGGCGGAUUUUUAAGUCAGCGGUAAAAUGUCCGGGCUCAACCCGGGCCGGCCGUUGAAACUGGGGAUCUUGAGUGGGCGAGA
RNAcentral lists this ribosomal RNA (305 nucleotides) under uncultured bacterium. RNAcentral's name for it is "bacterial SSU rRNA". It matches the Rfam family "Bacterial small subunit ribosomal RNA", at positions 333 to 655 of the family's 1533-position model. The record is from RNAcentral.